GGCUGUUCGCCAAUUAAAGUGGUACGCGAGCUGGGUUCAGAACGUCGUGAGACAGUUCGGUCCCUAUCUGCUGUGGGCGCAAGAAACUUGAGAGGCUCUGACCUUAGUACGAGAGGACCGGGUUGGACGUACCUCUAGUGCACCAGUUGUCACGCCAGUGGCACCGCUGGGUAGCUAAGUACGGAUGGGAUAACCGCUGAAAGCAUCUAAGUGGGAAGCCCACCUCAAGAUUAGGUUUCUCUGGCGCAAGCCCUGUAGAUCCGUUCUAGACGAGGACGUUGAUAGGCUAGAGGUGGAAGUGCGGCAACGCAUGGAGCUGACUAGUACUAACCGAUCGUGAGGCUUAUUUUU
This 351-nucleotide ribosomal RNA is filed under the name bacterium. RNAcentral's name for it is "partial 23S ribosomal RNA". It matches the Rfam family "Bacterial large subunit ribosomal RNA", at positions 2575 to 2925 of the family's 2925-position model. The record is from RNAcentral.